CUCUACCCGCCUCUGCUGGAAAACAGGCCGCAGAAUAUAGGUGUUCUCGGGCUCCCCUGCGUUCUUCUCAGCCUCAGGCACCCCGUCGCCCACCGAGAAGGACACUCCGAUGGACGUGGCCAUGCCGGGGCUUCUCGGUCCGGGCGUAGCUCGCGAUGAAGGCCUAGCGGGUUGCGGUCGCGGCCGGCAGCAGGGAAAGCGUCUCCAGGGCAACAGGGCCGCCCUCCCGCCUCGCUGAAGCCCGCGAGCGCCCCGCACAGCCGCCCUCCCUGCCCGCGCCUGCGCACCGGCUGCUGGGCGGGAACUGGUCGCGUCCGGACGCGCGACAGCUUCCACCCGCCUCAGGCAGUAUCAGCCGCGCCGCAGUCGGAGGAAAUAGACGCGGGGCCUGAGGCUCCUGGACUUGAGAAAGGAUUCAAGACAGCCGAUGAUGAAAACACCCAUGCUUGCAAGUGAAGGUUCUGCCUGUCACUUCUCGCAGAGGCUGCAGAAAAGGCCCAGGAGGCUGUUGAUGACAUGAACGACCACCAGGAGAAGCUGGAGCAGGCUGAUGCACAGAAGGGCGGAGAAGAGGGACACGUGCCAGACAACAGCUGCAGAGGGCUCCAGGCAGACGGAGUUCCAGAGCGAACGGUCUUUGAAUGGGUAACCAUAUUUCCAAGCUUGUGUCUGAUUGAAGGAUGAAACAUCAAACAUGCAAAAAGGACCAUCUUUCAGAGCAACUCCAGAAGUGACAAAGCAAAUCAGGGCUCCAAGUAAAGCCAGGCCACCUGACAACAGAGCACCAUUCAGCCUCUGAGCUAAAGAAGAAGCUACCACAGGCCCACCACUGACUCUUCUAAGGAAAAGCUGCAUUUUCAAAAGUUCCAGAGUCAUGGAGUCAUUCUCCCACUGAGGUCAAGCUGGUUUGGAGUUGGGGAGGGAUCAGACAAAGGUGCAUAGUAAGUUUUGACUCUGAGUUAAAGGAGUCAAGAUGAAUCAGUAAGCCUAGGGCAGUGGUUCCCAAAAUGGGGUCCCUGCCCAGCCGCAUCACAUCACCUGAGAACCUGUUAGAAAUGCAAAACUUCCCCGCCAUCCUGAAUCAGAAACUCUGGGGAGGGAGCCCAGCAAUCCGUGUUCCGGCAAAAGCCCUCCAGGUGAUUCUCAUGCACAUUCAAGUGUCAGAACUACGUGCCACGGGGAAAACCAGAAUGAGAACAGACAGUGAAUGAAAUGUGCAAGUGUUUAUUUAUUUAUCUAUGUACUUAUUUAUUUAUUUAUUUUGAAACGGAGUCUCGCUCUGUCGCCCAGGCUGGAGUGCAGUGGCGCCAUCUCGGCUCACUGCAAGCUCCGCCUCCCGGGUUCAAGAGAUUUUCCUGCCUCAGCCUCCUGAGUUGCUGGGAUUACAGGCGCCCACCACCACGCCCAGCUAAUUUUUGUAUUUUUGGUAGAGACGGGGUUUCACCAUGUUGGCCAGGCUGGUCUCAAACUCCUGACCUCAGGUGAUCCGCCCAUCUUGGCCUCCCAAAGUGCUGGGAUUACAGGCGUGAGCCACCGCGCCUGGCCUAUAUUUGAUUUUUUAACAUGUAACUGAGUCAGUGGGCUUCCCAACAUGUGGGCUGCAGAUAUCAGAGCAGGCUGUGGAGUUACCAUAAGGCCACAGAUUCAUGUCUGAGAACGAGUGUGUGUGUGUGUGUG
Molecule: long non-coding RNA, 1677 nt
Filed under: Homo sapiens (human)
Lineage: Eukaryota; Metazoa; Chordata; Mammalia; Primates; Hominidae
Description: HSALNT0067360
Source: RNAcentral